CUCGUCCUCGGGAAAAGGAUGGUUAAGAACAAUAUCUAGGGUAAAACAUUUUAAAACAUUCUUUUCAUAACUGCAGGGUGUUAAAAUCCACUGUGUACCAUAGUCAGGGAAGUAUGUGGUUAAGAGUAAAGAUCCUUUCUUCUCAAUACUGUCACUUGGAGUUUCUGUAUAUUUUUGAAAUAAAGUUAGCAUACCUUUUGUCCUCAUAGGUCUUCUCAGAUCACUCAUUAUCUUUUAUAUCUCACUGAGGCUGUUUUAAUUUGCAAAAAUUCUCAGGCAUACUUACUUUGCAUUUAUUGCCUGAUCAAAACGGGAUCCGAGGAGGGGAAUGUCAUACUCUUAGAUCAAAGACUUUAGAAGUUAAAAUCUUUGUCAACUCUUGCUGGCAUAUUGCUUAUUAGAGGGACCAUGGGCUAUCAUUUUCUUUUUCUUCUCUUUUUUUUAAAUGGAUACCGAGGUAUCCCUAAUUCUACUGCCGGACACUUGUCCAUUUUUUGCGAGGUUAUCGAGCACUUGCUCCUUUUUAUUUCCUCAAAAUAUCUUUAUUUUUGCGUAGCCCAUGCCUCUAAUGCAAUAAUACUUCGGAGGAGUGAAUCUUUCUGAAUAAAUGUCUUAAUCUUAGGAGCAUGAUAAAUCUCUCAACAUGGGUCUAACUCAUUUUGAACAAACUCAAUACAGAGUAGAUAGCCUUUAUAAUCGUAAUUAAUAUUUUCAGUUUUAUUAGGCAUAUAAAACACUGAGGAUGGUAGCUAGAAUUUUUGAAUAAAUUUUGAAAUAAAUUCUCCAAGCAACAAUGAUAUCAAGAAUAAGAAACUCAUACUCUACCAUCUCACAUUCCACAAUGACUUAAGUAACAAGGGGUUUUAAAAUGAUUUUUUAAUAAUUGCAAGUUUAAGGAAAUAUCAGAGAGUGAGAUUAAUCAUGAUUAGAAACAUUUUAAACUUCUUAAUUUAUCAUGUCGGAAAUAGUAUUCUGCAUAAUCCAAGAUAUGUGUAUGUGUAAAGUAAAGUGUGCAGAAUGUGUACCUGAAUCGUGGAGUGGUGUAGUCGAAGUGUGCUUGGCAUGUCGAGGAAUCUCCCCCAUACUUGUUUUAUACUUUCUUGCACAAAAAUAAAGUAGAGACACACAAGACAUAAUAAUAAUAAUAAUAAUAAUAAUAAUAAUAAUAAUAAUAAUAAUAAUAAUAAUAAUAAUAAUAAUACUCUUUAUUAAUCUUGAGGCAUUUAUUACAACUGGCGAUAAUAGU
This 1246-nucleotide long non-coding RNA is filed under the name Sorghum bicolor (sorghum). Its description in RNAcentral is "long non-coding RNA (SBIC_LNC005358)". Lineage: Eukaryota; Viridiplantae; Streptophyta; Magnoliopsida; Poales; Poaceae. The record is from RNAcentral.